Molecule: ribosomal RNA, 365 nt
Filed under: uncultured fungus
Lineage: Eukaryota; Fungi
Description: SSU rRNA
Rfam family: Eukaryotic small subunit ribosomal RNA
Source: RNAcentral
AUGCUUGUCUCAAAGAUUAAGCCAUGCAUGUCUAAGUACAAGCCGCUAGACGGCGAAACCGCGAAUGGCUCAAUAAAUCAGUUAUGGUUCCUUAGAACAGUCAAUCCUACUUGGAUAACUGUGGUAAUUCUAGAGCUAAUACAUGCACCCAAGCCCCGACUCGGGGGGCAACUCUCGAGAAAGGGCGCUUUUAUUAGAUCAAAACCAGUCGAGAGCUUCGGCUCUCGUUAAGUUUGGUGACUCUGGAUAACUUCACGCUGAUCGCACGGUCUUCGCACCGGCGACGAUUCUUUCAAAUGUCUGCCUUAUCAACUGUCGAUGGUAGGUUAUGCGCCUACCAUGGUUGCAACGGGUAACGGGGAAUA